UGCGAACUCCUACGGGAGGCAGCAGUGGGGAAUAUUGGACAAUGGGCGCAAGCCUGAUCCAGCCAUGCCGCGUGAGUGAUGAAGGUCUUAGGAUUGUAAAGCUCUUUCACCGGUGAAGAUAAUGACGGUAACCGGAGAAGAAGCCCCGGCUAACUUCGUGCCAGCAGCCGCGGUAAUACGAAGGGGGCUAGCGUUGUUCGGAUUUACUGGGCGUAAAGCGCACGUAGGCGGACUUUUAAGUCAGGGGUGAAAUCCCGGGGCUUAACCCCGGAACUGCCUUUGAUACUGGAAGUCUUGAGUAUGGUAGAGGUGAGUGGAAUUCCGAGUGUAGAGGUGAAAUUCGUAGAUAUUCGGAGGAACACCAGUGGCGAAGGCGGCUCACUGGACCAUUACUGACGCUGAGGUGCGAAAGCGUGGGGAGCAAACAGGAUUAGAAACCCGAGUAGUCCAGAUG
This 454-nucleotide ribosomal RNA is filed under the name uncultured bacterium. Its description in RNAcentral is "bacterial SSU rRNA". It matches the Rfam family "Bacterial small subunit ribosomal RNA", at positions 330 to 801 of the family's 1533-position model. The record is from RNAcentral.